AAUUAUGUACUGUACCAGCCAUGG
This 24-nucleotide non-coding RNA is filed under the name Cricetulus griseus (Chinese hamster). The record is from RNAcentral. Lineage: Eukaryota; Metazoa; Chordata; Mammalia; Rodentia; Cricetidae.